Molecule: transfer RNA, 71 nt
Filed under: Craugastor bocourti (Bocourt's robber frog)
Lineage: Eukaryota; Metazoa; Chordata; Amphibia; Anura; Craugastoridae
Description: tRNA-Val
Source: RNAcentral
UGAGAUAUAGCUUAAUUCUAAAGCCUCUUGCUUACACCAAGAUAAUGCCUGACAAAACAGACUAUCUCAAG